UAAUACAGAGGAGGCAAGCGUUGUUCGGAAUCACUGGGCUUAAAGCGCGUGUAGGCGGUCGGGCAAGUACUUUGUGAAAUACCUGGGCUCAACCUGGGAAUUGCUUGGUAUACUGCUUGACUUGAGGCGGAUAGGGGUGCCUGGAACUCUUGGUGGAGCGGUGAAAUGCGUAGAUAUCAAGGGGAACGCCAGAGGCGAAAGCGGGGCACUGGGUCCGUCCUGACGCUGAGACGCGAAAGCGUAGGGAGCAAACGGGAUUAGAUACCCCGGUAGUCUACGCCGUAAACGAUGCGCACUAGACUUCUAUGUCUCUGACGGCAUGGGAGUCGAAAGAAAACCGAUAAGUGCGCCGCCUGGGGAGUACGGCCGCAAGGCUA
RNAcentral lists this ribosomal RNA (377 nucleotides) under uncultured bacterium. Its description in RNAcentral is "bacterial SSU rRNA". It matches the Rfam family "Bacterial small subunit ribosomal RNA", at positions 521 to 896 of the family's 1533-position model. The record is from RNAcentral.